Pelobates cultripes (western spadefoot toad) is the source of this 491-nucleotide non-coding RNA. Lineage: Eukaryota; Metazoa; Chordata; Amphibia; Anura; Pelobatidae. The record is from the annotation of a GenBank genome assembly.
CAGAGCUUUACAAUUAUAUAGCGGGAAUUUAGCAACGAAUAAUUGACAGACAAAGUAAAUGGUGACAAAUACAAGAAAUAUUUUUAUAUAUAUAAAUCAUUUUUAAAAAGUGAAGCUGCCGACAGGGAAGUUAUACCUCCAGCAGCAAUGGGGUUUAACUCUGCAUGUGCAGUGCUUCAUAGCAAAAUAGACUCCAGGCACCAUGACCACUUCAAAACACUGAUUUAGUAAUAGUGCUUGGAAUAACCCUUUAACUUACACUUUACUUGUAGCAAGUGUGGGUACAAGGAGUGCUCCUUUAAUUGACUAUGACAAAGACCAGUUAUGGAAUUAAAGGACCACUAUAGUGCCAGGAAAACAUACUCGUUUUCCUGGCACUAUAGUGCCCUGAGGGUGCCCCCACCCUCAGGGUCCCCCUCACGCCCGGCUCUGGAAGGGGGAAAGGGGUUUAAACUUACCUUUUUCCAGCGCUAGGCGGGGAGCUCUCCUCC